This 658-nucleotide ribosomal RNA is filed under the name Actinomortierella capitata. Its description in RNAcentral is "eukaryotic LSU rRNA". It matches the Rfam family "Eukaryotic large subunit ribosomal RNA", at positions 99 to 619 of the family's 3401-position model. The record is from RNAcentral. Lineage: Eukaryota; Fungi; Mortierellomycota; Mortierellomycetes; Mortierellales; Mortierellaceae.
CGGGAAGAGCUCAAAUUUAAAAUCUGGCCGGGUUACCGGUCCGAGUUGUAGUUUAUAGAAGUGUUUUCGGCGGCAACCUGGGUACAAGUCCUUUGGAACAGGGCAUCAUAGAGGGUGAGAAUCCCGUCCAUGACCCAGUGGAUGCUGCUAUGUGAUACACUUUCAAAGAGUCGAGUUGUUUGGGAUUGCAGCUCAAAAUGGGUGGUAAAUUUCAUCUAAAGCUAAAUACAGGCGAGAGACCGAUAGCGAACAAGUACCGUGAGGGAAAGAUGAAAAGAACUUUGAAAAGAGAGUUAAACAGUGCGUGAAAUUGUUGAAAGGGAAACGUUUGGCACCAGUCAUGCGUUCAGGAAAUCAGUCUAUCGAGGUGGGGAGUGGCAGGAGUUUGGACCGCAAGGCCAACUUUUGUUGCAUUUCUAUUUGGAUGGAUGCACUUUUCUGUAUGCAGGUCAACAUCAGUUUUGUUCGCCGGACAAAACCCCAAGGGAAUGUGGCAGCUUUGGCUGUGUUAUAGCUCUGGGGCGAUACGGUGGACGAGACUGAGGCUUUCAGUGUGUGCUCUCGGGCAAGGCUGACCGGGUGCUAUGAGCCAGUACGGGGUACAAUACAUGUAUUUUGCUUCGUGUCUGGCUUGUACUCGCUCGAAUCAGCUCUUCCA